UACGAAGGGGGCUAGCGUUGUUCGGAAUUACUGGGCGUAAAGCGUGCGCAGGCGGCUUCUCAAGUCAGGGGUGAAAGCCCAGAGCUCAACUCUGGAAUUGCCUUUGAAACUGAGUGGCUUGAGUACGAGAGAGGUGAGUGGAAUUCCCAGUGUAGAGGUGAAAUUCGUAGAUAUUGGGAAGAACACCGGUGGCGAAGGCGGCUCACUGGCCCGUUUCUGACGCUCAGGCGCGACAGCGUGGGGAUCAAACAGG
This 253-nucleotide ribosomal RNA is filed under the name uncultured bacterium. RNAcentral's name for it is "partial 16S ribosomal RNA". It matches the Rfam family "Bacterial small subunit ribosomal RNA", at positions 524 to 776 of the family's 1533-position model. The record is from RNAcentral.